Molecule: long non-coding RNA, 1094 nt
Filed under: Ananas comosus (pineapple)
Lineage: Eukaryota; Viridiplantae; Streptophyta; Magnoliopsida; Poales; Bromeliaceae
Description: long non-coding RNA (ACOM_LNC012433)
Source: RNAcentral
ACCCUUAAGCUAGACUGUCACAGGGUACAACUAUCUCGGUCUCUGGGGUAGGACGCUAUCUGCAGAACUACGCCCUUGCCUUGCGCCGCCGCGCCGCACACGUGUGUACCUGUACCUGUACCCCCAAAACAGCAACACGGGGGUGAGACUAUUGUCCAUAGUCCUCAGUGGGUUUAGCCACCCAAGAGAACAAGCUUAGCCAACAGGUCUAACGAGGCACUGCAACAUGUUAGUUCAACAAUAUACAACAGAUAUAUAUUCAAUUGAAAUACAUGUCCUGCCUCACAAAAUGCAAUAUGCAAUACCUGUAAUCAUGCAAGUAGGUUACUUUAACACUACUUAUGUUCUUAAUCAUUCUUUAUUCUUUGCCAUUUAAUGCUUAGUUUUAGCUCUUAGCUAUUCUUUAUCAUUUAGCUAUUCUUUACUUGUAACCUUUCGUUACAUGUUCUUUAUUCUCAACAUUCUCAAACCAUGCUAUAUUUUAGCCUUUGGCAUUCUAUUCUAAGGUCACUUUACCUUAGUCAACAAGCCACCCGACUCGGUCUUGAGUCAAUCAAUCGCGGAUAGUCCGCGCACUGUCUAGCUCGAGGUGAAGGAACUCUCACAUGCACCUCAGCUGGCAACAGCUCACCGUACUCCUGUCCUAGCCGUCUGGCGGCGAACGAAUCGCACCUCACCCAACAACGGCCUAGGUUCAAUGACUUAGUCACCCGGCGGCGAAAUCGUCGCACACACGCCACGACAGUGGUUCAGUCAACAGGCGGUAGGAUCCACAAACUGGCUAACCAUCCGGCGGCGAAAUCGUCGCACACACGCCACGACAAUGGUUCACUAGCCCCUGGGCGGCGAAAUCGUCGCACACACCCGACACCACUUUGGGUGUAGCAGCAAGCAGCGGGAUUCCGGAAUCCAUAUCACAUCAACCAAGGGUUGGUCUUAACCCUAUGGAACUGACCUCUCUAGGUCUAAGCAUUUAUCUCCUAGGUCCAAUUGACUCUAGGUUCAACAUCCUUUACACAACCUAAGUUAUUACUUUAGGUUUAUUGCUUUCACAUUCUUAACCUAGGUUUAUUAUACUAGGAUCAUCAUUCUUU